Rhopalosiphum padi (bird cherry-oat aphid) is the source of this 1312-nucleotide long non-coding RNA. RefSeq lists it as uncharacterized. The record is from RefSeq and is a predicted model, not a curated record. The transcript has 3 exons. Lineage: Eukaryota; Metazoa; Arthropoda; Insecta; Hemiptera; Aphididae.
UUCAAUUUUUUUUUCUUAUCACAAAGCUAGUUCGUCUUUGUGUAUGUUUAAAUUUAUAUUUUUUUAUAGUUAUUGUGCUGUUUAACUUUCUUAUAAAAGAGAGUGAGGAAUUAAAAAGGUGGCCACCGAACAGAAAGUUAAACUGCAAUAUACUAUAAUAUUUUUAGUUCAUGUUUACAUUUUCAACUGAUAAAUUAUGAAUAUAAAAUUUCAAAUUAAUUUAAAUUCAAAAAUAAAAGAACACCAACAUAGAUUUCUUAAACAUUAAAAUUUUACUAUAAAUUUAAAUUACAUUUAAUCAGCACAUUAGUUGAAGUUUUAUAGGAACCGAACAUUUGGCUGGAUCAUGGACUACCCACCGACGGAGAAUUUGUCAUUGAGCUGAAGAAAAAUGUGUCAGCACUCGGCUUCGUUUCAAUCCGGAGGAAGAUUGGCAGCAGCAAAAAGAAAUUCAACUGAUAAUCAACUAUCCAAAUGAAGAAGAAUUUGUCACAAAGCUGAUGGGAAAUGUGUCAGCACUCGGCUUCGUUUCAACCCGGAGGAAGAUUGGCAGCAGCAAAAAGAAAUUCAACUGAUAAUCAACUGUCCAAAUGAAGAAGAAUUUGUCACAAAGCUGAUGGGAAAUGUGUCGGCAUUCGGCUUCGUUUCAACCCGGAGGAAGAUUGGCAGCAUCAAUAAGAAGCUCAUCUUAAUUUAGUUGUCCCCCCUUUGCGCAUUAGCGCUCAUCUCUCAUCCACUCAUCCAACACAUUCACUAUCGCCGGCCGGCAACACACAUAUAUUAUACACAUUACCCGUUUUAUAUUAUAUAGUAUUAUUAAUAUCCACAUAAUUUAAGUUAUUGUAUAUUUUUUUUUAUUAUUUGAAUGCAUUCAUAUGAUCAGUGGCGUAUUUAGGAAUUUUAGGAUAAGGGCAACACAUAUUUUGCCACCUCCCCCCCCAUUAAAAAAAAAUUAAAAAACUUCUACGCCGCGUAAUGGUCAAACUGUUAAUACCAUAGAAUACCAUGUUAUAUAAAUACUAUAGUAUUUUAUACCUCUAUGGCACACAUUUGUUGUGAAAAAUAUUAAUGAUUGACGUCACUGCGCCAGUACUCAUAAAGUACGAAAUAAAAAUUUGCCGUUCUGGACAACUGGACCCAAAGCCCCUACCUAAAUACUCCCCUGCAUAUGAUGCGUUCUCGCUUACGAUGUGGAUUAGGCCUACUGGGGACACCACAAUAAAAAAACGCGCCUCGUGUAAUACCUCAUAAAGUUAUUAAACAAUACGGACAAUGUUAUUGUACGUCGUUUAAUAAUAAAGGUGGUGUGGAA